RNAcentral lists this ribosomal RNA (254 nucleotides) under uncultured bacterium. RNAcentral's name for it is "partial 16S ribosomal RNA". It matches the Rfam family "Bacterial small subunit ribosomal RNA", at positions 524 to 776 of the family's 1533-position model. The record is from RNAcentral.
UACGAAGGGGGCUAGCGUUGCUCGGAAUCACUGGGCGUAAAGGGCGCGUAGGCGGCGUUUUUAAGUCGGGGGUGAAAGCCUGUGGCUCAACCACAGAAUGGCCUUCGAUACUGGGACGCUUGAGUAUGGUAGAGGUUGGUGGAACUGCGAGUGUAGAGGUGAAAUUCGUAGAUAUUCGCAAGAACACCCGUGGCUAAGGCGGCUCUCUAGUACGGUACUGACGCUGAGACGCGAAAGCGUGGGGAGCGAACAGG